Molecule: ribosomal RNA, 945 nt
Filed under: uncultured Gammaproteobacteria bacterium
Lineage: Bacteria; Pseudomonadati; Pseudomonadota; Gammaproteobacteria
Description: bacterial SSU rRNA
Rfam family: Bacterial small subunit ribosomal RNA
Source: RNAcentral
AGAGUUUGAUCCUGGCUCAGAUUGAACGCUAGCGGGAUGCUUUACACAUGCAAGUCGAACGGCAGCGCGAGAGAGCUUGCUCUCUUGGCGGCGAGUGGCGGACGGGUGAGUAAUAUAUCGGAACGUGCCCAGUAGCGGGGGAUAACUACUCGAAAGAGUGGCUAAUACCGCAUACGCCCUACGGGGGAAAGCGGAGGACCUUUCGGGGCUUCGCGCUAAUGGAUGAGCCUAAGCCGGAUUAGCUAGUUGGUAGGGUAAAAGCCUACCAAGGCGACGAUCCGUAGCUGGUCUGAGAGGACGAUCAGCCACACUGGGACUGAGACACGGCCCAGACUCCUACGGGAGGCAGCAGUGGGGAAUAUUGCGCAAUGGCCGAAAGGUUGACGCAGCGACGCCGCGUGUGGGAGGACGCCCUUCGGGGUGUAAACCACUGUCAGGGGGGAAGAACUUCGUAGGUGCGAAUAGUGCUUACGGUUGACGGUACCCCCAGAGGAAGCGCCGGCUAACUCCGUGCCAGCAGCCGCGGUAAUACGGAGGGUGCGAGCGUUAAUCGGAAUUGCUGGGCGUAAAGCGCGCGUAGGCGGUUUGGUUAGUCAGAUGUGAAAGCCCCGGGCUCAACCUGGGAAUUGCAUUUGAUACUGCCGGACUGGAGUAUGGUAGAGGGAAGUGGAAUUCCACAUGUAGCGGUGAAAUGCGUAGAUAUCCGGAGGAACAUCAGUGGCGAAGGCGACUUGCUGGUCUAAUACUGACGCUGAGGAGCGAAAGCGUGGGGAGCAAACGGGAUUAGAUACCCCGGUAGUCCACGCCGUAAACGAUGUCAACUAGCCGUUGGGGGUCUUAGUACCUUUAGUGGCGCACAGCUAACGCAUUAAGUUGACCGCCUGGGGAGUACGGUCGCAAGACUAAAACUCAAAGGAAUUGACUGGGGGGCCCGACACAAGCGGU